RNAcentral lists this non-coding RNA (153 nucleotides) under Gossypium arboreum. RNAcentral describes it as "Bacterial large subunit ribosomal RNA". It matches the Rfam family "Bacterial large subunit ribosomal RNA", at positions 2656 to 2814 of the family's 2925-position model. Lineage: Eukaryota; Viridiplantae; Streptophyta; Magnoliopsida; Malvales; Malvaceae. The record is from Rfam by way of RNAcentral.
AGAGUAUUGAGAGAACUUUUUCCUAGUACGAGAGGAUCGGGAAGGACGCACCUCUGAUGUACCAAUAUUGUGCCUACGGUAAAUACCGGGUAACCAAGUGUGAUAACUGCUGAAAGUAUCUAAGUAGUAAGUCCACAGCAAGAUGAGUGCUCU